This 418-nucleotide ribosomal RNA is filed under the name uncultured bacterium. RNAcentral's name for it is "bacterial SSU rRNA". It matches the Rfam family "Bacterial small subunit ribosomal RNA", at positions 355 to 766 of the family's 1533-position model. The record is from RNAcentral.
UCGAGAAUUUUUCACAAUGGGCGAAAGCCUGAUGGAGCGACGCCGCGUGGGGGAUGAAUGGCUUCGGCCCGUAAACCCCUGUCAUUCGCGAGCAAACGUUAUUAUUUAAAAGAUGAUAGCCUGAUAGUAGCGAAAGAGGAAGGGACGGCUAACUCUGUGCCAGCAGCCGCGGUAAUACAGAGGUCCCAAGCGUUGUUCGGAUUUACUGGGCGUAAAGGGUGCGUAGGUGGUGGGGUAAGUCGGAUGUGAAAUCUCCGAGCUCAACUCGGAAAGUGCAUUGGAAACUACCCUGCUCGAGGGUUGGAGGGGGGACUGGAAUACUUGGUGUAGCAGUGAAAUGCGUAGAUAUCAAGUGGAACACCAGUGGCGAAGGCGAGUCCCUGGACAACUCCUGACACUGAGGCACGAAAGCUAGGGG